RNAcentral lists this ribosomal RNA (884 nucleotides) under uncultured bacterium. RNAcentral describes it as "bacterial SSU rRNA". It matches the Rfam family "Bacterial small subunit ribosomal RNA", at positions 44 to 917 of the family's 1533-position model. The record is from RNAcentral.
UUGCAUCAGCUUACCAUGCAGUCGAGGGGAACGGCAUUAUGUGCUUGCACAUUUUGGACGUCGACCGGCGCACGGGUGAGUAUCGCGUAUCCAACCUGCCCUUUACUUGGGGAUACCCCGUUGAAAGACGGCCUAAUACCGCAUAGUCUUCGAUGACGGCAUCAGAUUUGAAGUAAAGAUUUAUCGGUAAUGGAUGGGGAUGCGUCUGAUUAGCUUGUUGGCGGGGUAACGGCCCACCAAGGCGACGAUCAGUAGGGGUUCUGAGAGGAAGGUCCCCCACAUUGGAACUGAGACACGGUCCAAACUCCUACGGGAGGCAGCAGUGAGGAAUAUUGGUCAAUGGACGGAAGUCUGAACCAGCCAAGUAGCGUGCAGGAUGACGGCCCUAUGGGUUGUAAACUGCUUUUGUAUGGGGAUAAAGUCAAUCACGUGUGAUUGUUUGCAGGUACCAUAUGAAUAAGGACCGGCUAAUUCCGUGCCAGCAGCCGCGGUAAUACGGAAGGUCCAGGCGUUAUCCGGAUUUAUUGGGUUUAAAGGGAGCGUAGGCGGAUUGUUAAGUCAGCGGUUAAAGGGUGUGGCUCAACCAUGCAUUGCCGUUGAAACUGGCGAUCUUGAGUGCAGACAGGGAUGCCGGAAUUCGUGGUGUAGCGGUGAAAUGCUUAGAUAUCACGAAGAACUCCGAUCGCGAAGGCAGGUGUCCGGGCUGCAACUGACGCUGAGGCUCGAAAGUGUGGGUAUCAAACAGGAUUAGAUACCCUGGUAGUCCACACAGUAAACGAUGUAUACUCGCGGUUUGCGAUAGAUUGUAAGCCGCCAAGCGAAAGCAUUAAGUAUACCACCUGGGGAGUACGCCGGCAACGGUGAAACUCAAAGGAAUUGACGGA